RNAcentral lists this ribosomal RNA (403 nucleotides) under uncultured bacterium. RNAcentral's name for it is "partial 16S ribosomal RNA". It matches the Rfam family "Bacterial small subunit ribosomal RNA", at positions 30 to 526 of the family's 1533-position model. The record is from RNAcentral.
AUUGAACGCUGGCGGCAGGCCUAACACAUGCAAGUCGAGCGAGCGGCGGACGGGUGAGUAAUGUAUGGGGACUGCCCGAUAGAGGGGGAUAACUACUGGAACCGGUAGCUACUACCGCAUACUAUCGGAUAACCCAUAGGGGAUUAGCUAGUAGGUGAGGUAAUGGCUCACCUAGGCGACGAUCCCUAGCUGGUCUGAGAGGCUGAUCAGCUAUACUGGGACUGAUACGCGGCCCAGACUCCUACGGAGGCAGCAGUGGGGAAUAUUGCACAAUGGGCGCAAGCCUGAUGCAGCCACGCCGCGUGUAUGAAGAAGUCCCUAGGGUUGUAAAGUACUGUCAGUCGGGAGGCGUUCCCGACAGAAGAAGCACCGGCUAACUCCGGGCCAGCAGCCGCGGUAAUAC